RNAcentral lists this ribosomal RNA (434 nucleotides) under uncultured bacterium. RNAcentral describes it as "partial 16S ribosomal RNA". It matches the Rfam family "Bacterial small subunit ribosomal RNA", at positions 28 to 507 of the family's 1533-position model. The record is from RNAcentral.
AGCGAACGCUGGCGGCAGGCUUAACACAUGCAAGUCGAGCGGGCACUUUCGGGUGUCCGCGGCGGACGGGUGAGUAACGCGUGGGAACGUGCCCUCUGGUUCGGAAUAACUCAGGGAAACUUGAGCUAAUACCGGAUACGCCCUUUUGGGGAAAGGCUUGCUGCCGGAGGAUCGGCCCGCGUCUGAUUAGCUAGUUGGUGAGGUAACGGCUCACCAAGGCGACGAUCAGUAGCUGGUCUGGGAGGAUGAUCAGCCCCACUGGGACUGAGACACGGCCCUGAUCCCGGCGGGAGGCGGGGGGGGGGAUUUUCGGACAGGGGGCGCAAGCCGGAGCCACCCCGGCCGGGGGAAGAAGGAAGGCCUUAGGUUUAUAAAUCUUCUUUAGCCGGGACGAAAUGACGGGACCCGAGGAAUAAGCCCCGGCUAACUUCGUG